Molecule: transfer RNA, 107 nt
Filed under: Candidatus Burarchaeum sp.
Lineage: Archaea; Nanobdellati; Microcaldota; Candidatus Micrarchaeia; Candidatus Burarchaeales; Candidatus Burarchaeaceae
Description: tRNA-Arg
Rfam family: tRNA
About the family: Transfer RNA (tRNA) molecules are approximately 80 nucleotides in length.
Source: RNAcentral
GGGCCCGUGGCGCAGCCUGGAUAGCGCGGCAUGAUUGAAACCAAUGUAGUUUCGAUCCCGGAAGCCUUCUAAGCUGAUGGUCGCGGGUUCAAAUCCCGCCGGGCCCG